Molecule: small nuclear RNA, 107 nt
Organism: Ictidomys tridecemlineatus (thirteen-lined ground squirrel)
Lineage: Eukaryota; Metazoa; Chordata; Mammalia; Rodentia; Sciuridae
Source: Ensembl
GUUCUCACUUAGGCAGCACACAUACUGAAAUUGGAACAAUACCAAGAAGAUUACCGUGGACUCUGGGCAAAGAUGACCUGAAAAUUUGUGAAGCAUUUUGUAUUUAA